UGACGCCCCACCAUCGCCGCCGUCAUCGCCAUCGACGCCGCUGCGGCAAGGCACGAUUGAGUUGACCCAUCCUCCCCUCCUUCACAUCGACCCACAACGAUAUAGUUCGGGCACUCGUUACGUGAGAGCGCUUAGGAUUCGAGUCGGCAAAGAGCGACAAGGCUGCCAUCGAUUCCUUCCCACGUGUCCUCGCGCCCUCUGCUCCCCCAGCACCCCUCCCCACCUUCUCGCCCGCUCACACCAUGGCGGAGCCGGUCACCAAUGAGAAUCUUCAGAUUCUCUUGACGAAGCUGAUGACGGACCGCUUCUGCUCGCAAGAGGCCAGCGAUCUCGACGCAUGCGUUCAGAACUUUGUGCCGCAGCACAUCGAUGGCAGCUACGUGGAUCAGAGUCUCCAGCGGCGAGGGAUCAGGCGGUGCAAGCCGUAUCAGGAGAUGGCGCGGAAGUGCCUGGAAGACGACAAGAAACAAACGGCGAUCUUCCGCGCAGCCGCGAUGGCGCCGACGUGCAAGAAUGAGCAGCGAGCGCUGCAGCGCUGCCAGCGCGCGAAGGGGCGCGACUGCGAGGCCGAGGCGCUAGAGACGGUGUACUGCGGUAUGGUCUACCUCGUGCAGCGGCAGAAGGAGCGCCAGAGCGGUGCCGCGGCGCCGCGCUUGGCGGAGUAACUGGACAAUGCGCGUUCGUCCAGCCUGACAUGGCAGGCGGAGGGAGGUGCGGCAGAUGACACGCUGCCUGAAGAUGCUUCGCCCCAUCCGCGACACGCUCUCUUCUCUCCCCGUGCACCGCGCCUCCCAGGGGUUCACCACAUGCGUGAGUUUGCGCCAUGACGUUGUUGCUCUUGUCUUGCUCGUCAUUGUCAUCGUUGUGCCUGCCGUGGGGCGGGGCUGUGCGUGUGUGUGCGUGUGUGUGCACGCGUGUUUGUUACGCUCCUUGUUGUUUGCCGUCGAUGAUGUGCCCGCGUUCGUCCCACCUGCAGACGACUCUCUUUCUCUGUCUCUCUCGCUCUCCGUUGUAACUAAAGCGAUGUGCCUUCUCCCAUUCCCCUAUGGCACGCAGGGCGCAUUACAUGCUCACCUCUACACACACACGCGCAUAUACAUAUACAUAUAUAUAUAUAUAUAUAUAUAUGUAUAUGUAUAUAUAGGGCGAGACACGGACACGUGCAGGCGGAUCCUCGCAUCCCGAAUGAAGGUGAGAGGAGAUCGAACAUCAACCAAAGAAGACAGAGGACAGGAAAGGCAAGGCGAGCUGUAGGAGAGAGGGACGGGCGAGGGUUCAUGCCGUCAUACCGUCGCUACGAGGCCGCCUCCACAACCGCGGAGCAUGGAUAAGCGGAACAAGGAAUGAGCGACUCAGGAGAGGGCCACGGAGGAUGUGCACGUUGCCCUCCCCCUUCCCCCAAAGCAACUAACUCGCUCCCUCCCUUGACUCCACUUCGCCCUCUUCUUGUGCUCAUCGUCUUCGCUUCCUUGUUGUUGUGUGUGUGCCAUGUGCACUGACGUGCCUUCGCUUGAGCCGUUCUGGUUCUCUCCGCAUGAAGCUCGCUGCUUUCACCCCUAGCGCAUUGUCCUUCUGUUUUCGGCGCUGCCGCUGUAGCCACCUGCCCGCGUCUCCUUCUCGUUUGCUUCCUCGCCUCCCUGCUUCCCCCCUCCCUCCCUCCCCCAUCUCUCCAG
RNAcentral lists this unclassified non-coding RNA (1673 nucleotides) under Leishmania donovani. RNAcentral describes it as "gene:LdHU3.27.2780(CDS-product:hypothetical_prote in_conserved)". The record is from RNAcentral. Lineage: Eukaryota; Euglenozoa; Kinetoplastea; Trypanosomatida; Trypanosomatidae.